RNAcentral lists this ribosomal RNA (252 nucleotides) under uncultured bacterium. Its description in RNAcentral is "partial 16S ribosomal RNA". It matches the Rfam family "Bacterial small subunit ribosomal RNA", at positions 526 to 779 of the family's 1533-position model. The record is from RNAcentral.
CGUAGGGUGCGAGCGUUAAUCGGAAUUACUGGGCGUAAAGCGUGCGCAGGCGGUUCGUUAAGUCAGAUGUGAAAGCCCCGGGCUCAACCUGGGAACUGCAUUUGAAACUGGCGGGCUUGAGUAUGGCAGAGGGGGUGGAAUUCCGCGUGUAGCAGUGAAAUGCGUAGAGAUGCGGAGGAACACCGAUGGCGAAGGCAGCCCCCUGGGCCAAUACUGACGCUCAGGCACGAAAGCGUGGGAGCAAACAGGAUU